UUCCCAAAGGGGGCCAAGCCCUGAGGCAGCCAUGCCGGAGGGUUGAAGAAGGCCUUCGGAUAGUAAAGCACUUUCAGCGGGGAGGAAGGCGAUAAGCUUAAUACCCUCAUCGAUUGACGUUACCCGCAGAAGAAGCACCGGUUAACUCCGUGCCAGCAGCCGCUGUAAUACGGAGGGUGCAAGCGUUAAUUCGAAUUACUGGGAGUAAAGCGCACGCAGGCGGUAUGUCAAGUUGGAUGUGAAAUCCCCGGGCUCAACCUGGGAACUGCAUUCGAAACUGGCAGGCUAGAGUCUUGUAGAGGGGGGUAGAAUUCCAGGUGUAGCGGUGAAAUGCGUAGAGAUAUGGAGGAAUACCGGUGGCGAAGGCGGCCCCCUGGACAAAGACUGACGCUCAGGUGCGAAAGCGUGGCGAGCAAACAGGAUUAGAUACCCUGGUAGUCCACGCUGUAAACGAUGUCGAUUUGGAGGUUGUGCCCAUGAGGCGUGGCUUCCGGAGCUAACGCGUUAAAUCGACCGCCUGGGGAGUACGGCCGCAAGGUUAAAACCCAAAUGAAUUGACGGGGGCCCGCACAAGCGGUGGAGCAUGUGGUUUAAUUCGAUGCAACGCGAAGAACCUUACCUGGUCUUGACAUCCACAGAACUUAGCAGAGAUGGUUUGGUGCCUUCGGGAACUGUGAGACAGGUGCUGCAUGGCUGUCGUCAGCUCGUGUUGUGAAAUGUUGGGUUAAGUCCCGCAACGAGCGCAACCCUUAUCCUUUGUUGCCGGCGGUUAGGCCGGGAACUCAAAGGAGACUGCCAGUGAUAAACUGGAGGAAGGUGGGGAUGACGUCAAGUCAUCAUGGCCCUUACGACCAGGGCUACACACGUGCUACAAUGGCAUAUACAAAGAGAAGCGACCUCGCGAGAGCAAGCGGACCUCAUAAAGUAUGUCGUAGUCCGGAUUGGAGUCUGCAACUCGACUCCAUGAAGUCGGAAUCGCUAGUAAUCGUAGAUCAGAAUGCUACGGUGAAUACGUUCCCGGGCCUUGUACACACCGCCCGUCACACCAUGGGAGUGGGUUGCAAAAGAAGUAGGUAGCUUAACCUUCGGGAGGGCGCUUACCACUUUGUGAUUCAUGACUGGGGUGAAGUCGUAAC
RNAcentral lists this ribosomal RNA (1136 nucleotides) under Klebsiella pneumoniae. RNAcentral describes it as "bacterial SSU rRNA". It matches the Rfam family "Bacterial small subunit ribosomal RNA", at positions 365 to 1492 of the family's 1533-position model. The record is from RNAcentral. Lineage: Bacteria; Pseudomonadati; Pseudomonadota; Gammaproteobacteria; Enterobacterales; Enterobacteriaceae.